Molecule: transfer RNA, 100 nt
Filed under: Streptomyces capillispiralis
Lineage: Bacteria; Bacillati; Actinomycetota; Actinomycetes; Kitasatosporales; Streptomycetaceae
Description: tRNA-Trp
Source: RNAcentral
GCACGGGCCUGCCGGACGAGGGCCCGCCGCGGCUGCCGUCCAUCGGCGCGGAUCCCGCGGAGCGGCGCGGGGUGGCGGGUUCGGACCACGCGCCGGUGUG